AUCCAACUUGCUUGCUCACGAAGACCAAGGGCAAUCUUAAGGAAGCCCAUCAUUGGAAUAUACAAGCCAAGUUAUAUAAUGAAGAUUCCCACUAGCAUAUGGUAGUGACAAAGAAAAAAGCUCUCAAUCAUGAAGAACAUGGUGCUAUUAUGAAGCACAAGUGUGGAAAAAGAUAGUAGCAUUGUCCCUUCUCUCUUUUUCUCUCUUUUUUUUUGUUUGGGCUCUUAGGCCUCUUUUUUUUCUUUUCUCUUUUCUUUUUAUUUUUACUAGGACAUAUGCCCGUGCGUUACAACGGGAAAAAUGUCAACGUUGACAUGUCGAUGGUUUCCGGUGACCAUAUAAAUUUACUUGAGUGGAAAUAAAUUUUCAAUCAUAGUGAUAGCUCCAGCCAAAAACCGAAAACAUAGUCUCAUUGGCUAUAAGCGUCCAACUGUCCAAAGAGAUGUAGACUUCAGAGGAGCAGUAUGGAACAUCAUCAUAAGAAUAUUGAAAAGGUACUAUCAGCAACAUGAACAAAGAUAGACUGGCACACACUUAAAUGAUGGGGAAGAAACAUGACGUGUUUAUUACAAUGUAAAUAAUAAGUUCUCCCUCAACUGGUGCAAACACAUUAUUGCCACACUUAUGUUAUUACAUCCAAUAUACAUAUAGGAUGUAAUAACAUCUUAUAUUGCGGG
This 677-nucleotide long non-coding RNA is filed under the name Hordeum vulgare. RNAcentral's name for it is "long non-coding RNA (HVUL_LNC013746)". The record is from RNAcentral. Lineage: Eukaryota; Viridiplantae; Streptophyta; Magnoliopsida; Poales; Poaceae.